This is a long non-coding RNA of Parambassis ranga (Indian glassy fish), 1030 nucleotides long. The record is from Ensembl. NCBI's taxonomy places the organism in Eukaryota, Metazoa, Chordata, Actinopteri, Ambassidae.
CUCCAUAUACAAAUCAAAACUUCUAUUACAUUUCUAUUUCUUCAACCUUUUAAAUAAAUUCAGAUUUGAGCUUCUUUAACAUUUCACAGCAAAUCCUGCAACAUGCAGCAAUCAAAUGCAUUUUCCUCCCCAUUUUUUCUUCUACUUUAAUAAUCCCAGAAGGGAAAUUGCUUAAGACUGCCAGUAAGUUAGGCAGUGCGGUAAAGUGCCUUGUCCAAGGACACACAACAAUGACUAGGGAGGAGUUGGGAUCGAACCACCAACCUUCAGGUUAUUGGACAACCUGCUGCCCCCGAUAAUAAUAUAACUAUGAAGUAUAACAUCAAAUACAUGUCUAAUUCAAAACAAAACAAAUUCCAAAGAUGCAAAGCAGCGGGUGGCAUGGCAACAGAUGCUAUAUAAGGCCUGCUGACCCUACAGGCGCUUCUUUUUGCACUUGACCUGCGACCAGAGCAGACCUGCGCAAAAAACCUGUGGAAGCUAACGCUGAAGCUAAAGCGGAUUAUCGACACCCAGAGGACUAUCAACAGAGCUCACUGCCAACAACUUCAGGACCACCUAUCACCUUUACCAGCAGAAAGUGUUGGACAACACUUGGAGCAUCGGCACCCCGGAUAGCAUAGGCCUAUCUCCAGAAAGCCGGAUUUUACAGGUCAACUUGUUCCUGAUGGCCACCAGCGGACCCCGCUGCCAGCUGCCUCUGCUGACCGCCAUGGAGGACCGGAGGGCUGAGGAUGUCGGCUCUGUCAUUGAGUGUCCCCCAGCAGACCUUCCUGAGGACAUCUGGAUGUUAGAGGACACUGAUGACAACCGUGUCCCAGUCCUCAUCUCUUCUGAUGAAGAAGAUGAGGGUGAGGACGACCAUGGAGAGGAGGAGCCUCACGACGUGGGAGAUGUCCUGAAUGACCGGUGGGAUGAUGUGGACCUUCCUUUAGCCUUUGGUAAACUGGAGAUUAUGCAGGAGGAGGAGGAUGACAUGAAGGACUCAGAGGAGGAGGACCGGGCCAGUGAGGAUUCCGGGUGUUCGUGA